AGCCAUUCUUUCCUGGAGACAGAAGAAACAUUUAACAAGGAUAUUUACAGACUGGAGAGAUGGAGUACCUGUAGAAACGUCGGACUAGUCAGUGUCUGCUAUCAAUGUAGGGAAAGAAGAGAGCUGUGCUCCUGUCAGGAUGAAAAAAUAAGGAAAUCAUCUGCAACAUUAUGUGCCAACCCUUCAAUGGAAGCUGUUUGGACAGUGGGCCAAAGCACAUGAUUAACAUUAGAGGUACGUACGUCCUGGGUAUCUACAUUUGAGGCCAUUUGAUCCCUGGAAGGACUGUGCACCUCAGAGGCACAGAGCAGAGGAAAGGGUCUGCCGGACAAGCAGUUGGAACGUGUGAACCAACAGGUGCCGCGAAAAGACUCACGCCUCCCUCGAUCUACGUGCUGUUUUUGUUCUCCUAUACAGUCCGUUCCGUGACUCUGGGAGA
This is a long non-coding RNA of Canis lupus familiaris (dog), 439 nucleotides long. RefSeq lists it as uncharacterized. The record is from RefSeq and is a predicted model, not a curated record. The transcript has 4 exons. Lineage: Eukaryota; Metazoa; Chordata; Mammalia; Carnivora; Canidae.